GACGAACGCUGGCGGCGUGCCUAACACAUGCAAGUCGAGCGGAGAUUGCAGCAAUGUAAUUUUAGCGGCGGACGGGUGAGUAACGCGUGGGCAACCUGCCUUUCACUGGGGGAUAACACAGGGAAACUUGUGCUAAUACCGCAUAACGUCACGGGAUGACAUCCUCCUGUGACCAAAGGAGCAAUCCGGUGGAAGAUGGGCCCGCGUCCGAUUAGCUAGUUGGAGGUGUAACGGACCACCAAGGCGACGAUCGGUAGCCGAACUGAGAGGUUGAUCGGCCACAUUGGGACUGAGACACGGCCCAGACUCCUACGGGAGGCAGCAGUGGGGAAUAUUGCGCAAUGGGGGAAACCCUGACGCAGCAACGCCGCGUGAAGGAUGAAGGUUUUCGGAUCGUAAACUUCUUUGAUCGGGGACGAAUAAUGACGGUACCCGAAAAACAAGCCACGGCUAACUACGUGCCAGCAGCCGCAGUAA
RNAcentral lists this ribosomal RNA (477 nucleotides) under uncultured bacterium. Its description in RNAcentral is "partial 16S ribosomal RNA". It matches the Rfam family "Bacterial small subunit ribosomal RNA", at positions 28 to 523 of the family's 1533-position model. The record is from RNAcentral.